This 253-nucleotide ribosomal RNA is filed under the name uncultured bacterium. RNAcentral's name for it is "partial 16S ribosomal RNA". It matches the Rfam family "Bacterial small subunit ribosomal RNA", at positions 524 to 776 of the family's 1533-position model. The record is from RNAcentral.
UACGUAGGGUCCGAGCGUUGUCCGGAAUUACUGGGCGUAAAGCGCGCGCAGGCGGCCCGCGAGGUGUCACGUGAAAGCCCCGGGCUCAACCCGGGAGGGUCGUGGCAUACCGGCGGGCUUGAGGCCGGUAGAGGUGGGUGGAACUCCUGGUGGAGUGGUGAAAUGCGUAGAGAUCAGGAAGAACACCCGUGGCGAAGGCGGCCCACUGGGCCGGUACUGACGCUGAGGCGCGAAGGCGUGGGGAGCGAACAGG